UACUCCUACGGGAGGCAGCAGUGGGGAAUUUUGGACAAUGGGCGAAAGCCUGAUCCAGCAAUGCCGCGUGUGUGAAGAAGGCCUUCGGGUUGUAAAGCACUUUUGUCCGGAAAGAAAUCCUUGGCUCUAAUACAGUCGGGGGAUGACGGUACCGGAAGAAUAAGCACCGGCUAACUACGUGCCAGCAGCCGCGGUAAUACGUAGGGUGCAAGCGUUAAUCGGAAUUACUGGGCGUAAAGCGUGCGCAGGCGGUUUGCUAAGACCGAUGUGAAAUCCCCGGGCUCAACCUGGGAACUGCAUUGGUGACUGGCAGGCUAGAGUAUGGCAGAGGGGGGGUAGAAUUCCACGUGUAGCAGUGAAAUGCGUAGAGAUGUGGAGGAAUACCGAUGGCGAAGGCAGCCCCCUGGGCCAAUACUGACGCUCAUGCACGAAGGCGUGGGGAGCAAACAGGAUUAGAUACCCUGGUAGUCCACGCCCUAAACGAUGUCAACUAGUUGUUGGGGAUUCAUUUCCUUAGUAACGUAGCUAACGCGUGAAGUUGACCGCCUGGGGAGUACGGUCGCAAGAUUAAAACUCAAAGGAAUUGACGGA
Molecule: ribosomal RNA, 591 nt
Filed under: uncultured bacterium
Lineage: Bacteria
Description: bacterial SSU rRNA
Rfam family: Bacterial small subunit ribosomal RNA
Source: RNAcentral